UACACGCUGUGACUAGCAUAUCAAUAAGCGGAGGAAAAGAAACUAACAAGGAUUCCCCUAGUAACGGCGAGUGAAGCGGGAAGAGCUCAAAUUUGAAAUCUUAAAGGGUUUCCCUUUACGAAUUGUAGUUUAAAGAAGUGUUUUCUGUUGAGGUUUUGGUAAAAGUUCUUUGGAAUAGGACAUCAUAGAGGGUGAGAAUCCCGUAUUUGACCUUUACUUUCAACUUUGUGAUACACUUUCAAAGAGUCGGAUUGUUUGGGAAUGCAGUCCAAAAUGGGUGGUAAAUUUCAUCUAAAGCUAAAUAUUGGCGAGAGACCGAUAGCGAACAAGUACCUGUGAGGGAAAGAUGAAAAGAACUUUGAAAAGAGAGUUAAACAGUACGUGAAAUUGUCAAAAGGGAAGCGUUUGACACCAGUGUUGUUUUUCUGAAAAUCAAUUAAAGAACUGUUUAUGCUAAGCUGUUUAGACUUUAUCAGCUAUCUGUUUAGUUUUGAGCUUUUCUUUAAUGCACUUUUCAGUUAACAAGUCAACAUCAAUUUCUUUUGCUGUAAAAAAGCUUGAGGAAGGUGGCUUGAGAUUCGUCUUAAGUGUUUAUAGCCUCUUGCCUAUGCAGUCGGAGAGAUUGAGGUCUGCAGCGUAGAUCCUUCGGGGCUAAAUGCAUUUGUGCUAAGUUAUAGCAUUUUAUAGACAACUUGUUGACUAUGAUUUGUCUUGUAGCUUACUCGCUUAUGUUAUUUUACCUACGCUUAGGAUGUUGAAGAUGUAGCACAUCAU
RNAcentral lists this ribosomal RNA (774 nucleotides) under uncultured Neocallimastigales. Its description in RNAcentral is "partial large subunit ribosomal RNA". It matches the Rfam family "Eukaryotic large subunit ribosomal RNA", at positions 22 to 635 of the family's 3401-position model. The record is from RNAcentral. Lineage: Eukaryota; Fungi; Neocallimastigomycota; Neocallimastigomycetes; Neocallimastigales.